Long non-coding RNA from Canis lupus familiaris (dog), 3870 nucleotides. RefSeq lists it as uncharacterized. NCBI's taxonomy places the organism in Eukaryota, Metazoa, Chordata, Mammalia, Carnivora, Canidae. The transcript is spliced from 3 exons. The record is from RefSeq and is a predicted model, not a curated record.
UAAGCCCUCAUGCCUAACCACUGUGCUCUCCAGUGACUGAGAGCAGACAGCAGCUGGCACCCAGCAUGCCUCUCAAUGAAGAGCCUCUAGGACUGUGUGUCUAGAACUUUGCCUUGUUAGCUCAUAGAAUCACCCCCACGUUGCAGAUGUGGAAACUGAAGAGGGAUGAAUUCCAGGGUCGUGGAGUGAGAAAGUGGCAGAACCAAAGCCUGUGCUCUGUCCACCACACCCUUGGGACCUUUAGUCUCACCUGUCUGCCAUCAAAGGAGAGACACGUGGGGGAGUUUGAUUCAAAGCAAAGCAAACAAGGCCAGGUCAAGAGAGGCUGAGACCAAGGAGAGGGGUCAAGCCUUGGAUCCUGGCAUUUAGUGGUGUUGGAAAGACCUCCUUCUGUAGGAGUGACUAGAUUGGGAAUGGUAAGAAGCCCUGGAAAGUUACCAGAAGGCUGCCAACUCUCAGCCAGCACAGCCUCCUUAAUGGCCCUCCCUGUUGCCGGGCAUCAGGCUCCCUGGAAACCUGCAUUGUAGGUCCCAGACCUGAACGAGGCAGUGGUGGUAAGGUCUGAGGUGGGGAUGGAGGUGGGAACCUGCAGCCCCGGGUACUCAGACCUACCCCGGGGCAGGAUGUGUCCUGCACAAGUAGGACAAGCCUACAGGACAGACACACAGCUGUUCAUGCCCUGCACACAGAUGUCCCUUCUGCACGUGGGCCUAGGACCUGGACAUCCUGAAACCUACCAGGGGCUCGAUGGGCUUGGGCCUAUCCUGGGUCUUCACAGCACACAAGGAGCACUGGGACAGGCAGUCCGCUGUGGCAGAGGGGAGCACAAGGAGGCAGGCGGCCAGCAGCAGCCCCUGCCACGCCAUGCUGGCUCAGCGCUUCCUGCUGGGGACGGAGAAAGAGAAGAUAAUGAACCAGUGAGCGCCUACUCUGCAUGGGUGUCCUGAGCCAUCUCACUGACCCCUGCAGGCAACACUGUAAGGCUAACGUUCUUGUUCUCGUUCCCAUCUCACAGUCAGGAAAAUAGAGGCCCAAGGAGGCACAGUGGGUGCCCAAAGUUGGGGGUCAAAGAAGAGAAUUAAUGUGCUGAGUACCUGCUACGUGCCAGCAGCCUUCCCACCUGUUCACCUUCCAUCUGCACGACAGCUCUGGAGGAGGGUCUGUCUAUUUUCAUCAGACAGAUGGGGAAGUCGAGGCUCAAGAGGGGAAGCGAUCACCAGCACCAGUCAGGCAACAGACAAGCCAGGACUUGAUCUGGGUCUGCCAGCCUUCAAAAUCCACUUUACCCACCUACCGAGCGGGAAGACAUUCGGCAUCUGCUUUCCUAGAUUCUCUGAGGCCCCAUCACCUGCCUUUGCCCCCGACUUCUCAGCUUGUCCCCAGGCCUGUCCUAUCUGCCUUGUAAGUUCUCUAGAAUUUGCCUUUUUCACCCCAGCACUUCUACUUACCGUGGCCAUACUUCCACCUUCUCCAAGCGGGCCUCCCUGCCUCCAGGUCCUUCUCAGAUCCCCCCUGUCCGCCCUGAAAUGCCCUGCGCAGCAUGGCAAUCCUGCAGUCAGACCUGUUAGGCUGGGUCAGGCCUGGCCCCUCAUCAUCCCCACUUUAUAGAUGAGAAAACAGGUGCUCAGAGAGGCUGGCAGAUCUAGGGUCACAUAGCGAUUGAAGGUGGGAACCCAGGCCUCUCUUGAGGCUGGGCACGUUCUGCUCCACGAAGCAGGGAGGCUCAGAGAAGAAAACCCAGAAGAGUGGACAUGGGUCCAUCCCACCUCUCUUGCCCUCCCCACCCCCCAUGUUCUCUCAUGCUCUACCACCUGCUGAGUGGCUUGGGGUUCCAGGAGAGCAAGCAGUGCCUUUUAUGCUCAGAUGCAAAGCAGGCAGCUCGUGUUUUCUCUGAUAUCAGCGGAUGGUGAUGGUAGGGCUGGCUCAGUACAAGAUCAGCAGUGAAUUACCUGCAGGGGAGGAGAAGCCUACACCACAGACCUCCUGGCCUGAUGCUUCCCACACGGCGUGGCUUCCAGGUUAGGAGGCCUGAUCAGAGAUCCUUUGUGUCCCAGGCAAAUAACGUCGGCAGCCUUUCCUUUCAUCCACUAACUUCGUAUUUAAUAAUAAUCCUAGCUGAUCAGAUGGUUGUUAAGUACUCAUGAUGUUCUGAGCUGUUCUCACGAGCAAACUCAUUUGUACUCACAGCGACUCUCUGGGGUGGGUCCCAUUGUCGCUCCCACUUUACAGAUCAGAAGACUGAGUUAAGAAGGCUGCCAAUGUUCUUGAGCUGGUAAGUGGCAAAGCUGGGAUUUGUAUCUGGGGGGGCGUCUAACUCAAGCCCAUCUUCUUACCACAGUGCACUGGCCGGGCUCCUCCAGUCUACCCCACUCCCAGCCCAAGUCUCCAGUUUCUCUGGCCCAGGCUCCAGGGAGCCUCUGGUCUUACCAGCCUGAUUGCACCCCUGCCCUGCUUCCCGGCUCUCCACUGCCCCUGAGAGGAAGGCUGCCCCUUAGCUAGCUGCUCCAGGGCUUUCCCACCAAGCAGAGCUGGCACUGACUGGUGCUAACUGCAUGCCGGGCUGUGCUGAGCCUCAGCUGUGUCUUAACGGAAGAAGGUCUCAUAACAAUCCCAUAAACCUGGGACUAAUAUUCUUUCCAUUCUAUAGGCAGGGAAAUGGAAGCCCAGAGACUAUGUCAUCUGUCUAAGGCAGCCCAGCAAAUGUGCAGCACCCAGACUGGCUGUGAGCUUCGUCUGAUGUGGGCCUGACCACACCACCUGCAACUCCAAAAUAGUGCCCCAUGUACCCCAUUUUUCAUGCUUCACCCAAGGGAUUCCCUCUUCCUGGAGCACCUUCCUCACCCCACCCAUCCACUCCUAUCUCCCACUGACCUGGCUAACUCGUAUUUGUUCUUCAACACUCAGCCUUGGUUACCUCCUCCAGGAAGUCUGCCUGACCUUCUGAACUCCCACAGUCACUAUGCUGGCUCUAUGACACAAGUGCUCCUGCUUUCUGAGUUUCUAACCAGUGGGGGGCUUCGUCUCUGCAGGAUAAACAAAUUAUCGUGCACUGCCAGAUGGGUCCUUCAGGAGCAUUUUCACCUUUGCUCAGGGGAUUUGCUCAGGGGAGCUCUUGUCCAUCAGAGAUAGCCCUGUCUGCCCCUCAACUCCCAUCCAGAACGAACUGAGAAGAAAAGGAACUUGGAAGCUCACGGGAUCUAUGGGACUUCCUCAGCCACUACCCCAUGGGCUUUGUGACAGCCCGGUGAGGGAUGCAGGGGCUGGUGGGGGGCAGGAGAGGACAUUUUGGCCUCAUCAGCCUCCAUCAAUCGCUGGAUUCUUUUACCAAAUCUCUUUCUCUAUAUGUUCACAUCCUAUUGUUUCCAUUUCUCUGGGGAAUCCUGAGAACGCACCCAAUGCCCAUUCCAUCUGCCUACUAUCGUCCGUGGCUGCUCUCAUGCUGCAAAAGCACAGCUGGGUGUUGAGACAGGGACUGGACGCCCCGAAUGCCCAAAAUAUAUACUAGCUGGUCUCUUACCGACCAGGUCUGCUGACCCCUGCUUUCACUAAUCUUACAAUCAUUUUCCUAAUUCUAAUUAUUCUCAUCAUUCUGAAGCUGACUUUCUGGGGAAAAAUCAGAAGGGAAUCAUUCCCCUCCUCAAGCCUGCGCUUCUCACUUGUCCCUGAAGGGGACGCAUCACCCCCUUGCCCUGCGCCAGGGCUGCCCCAGUGACAACAUCGCUCAAAGGGCCAGCACACAGUAGUCCUCUCUCCUACCCAGGGCCCAGGGUUCCUGGAAAGGGAAGGGACUGCCUGCCCGCCCCCUCAUCUCCUUUUGGUGAUAUUUCUAUAUUGUAGUCAGAGGACUCAGAGGAGCAGCAAGCAUUAAAA